This is a long non-coding RNA of Pseudopipra pipra, 2016 nucleotides long. RefSeq lists it as uncharacterized. Lineage: Eukaryota; Metazoa; Chordata; Aves; Passeriformes; Pipridae. The record is from RefSeq and is a predicted model, not a curated record. The transcript has 2 exons.
AUUAAAGGCAGCAACAGCAGACUGACAGUUCCCAAAAUCAGGAAGAUUGCCAUCUACAGAUUACAUAUCUGCAGAGAUGUUGCAAGGAUCAGAGCUAGGGAAUUAUUAAAAUCUUUUAUCAGUAUGCAGAAGUGAAUCUCAAAUAAGUGUUGAUAAAAUGUGUGGAUGGCAAAAAGAACAGGUAAAAAAAUUUUACUGUGUUCUGUGAUUUUGUAAGCAAAGAAGUAAGACAUAAUAUCUUGGAGAGGGAUUUACCUAUGGAUACAAAGAUAAUGAAAAUUAUAGGAGAAUUCUGGACACUAAGCAACUCUUAGCAGAAAAAAACAAACAAACAUAAAAACAACGAUCAGGAAGCUAAACUUUACAAAUUAACAUAGCCAAUAGACACACUUUUUAACUGUCAGACACUUGAACAAAUGAUUAAUCAUUACAAAAAAAGGGACUAGUUGGUGCUCUGUCUUUUCAUGAUGAACUGAAAACACAAUUUAGAGAUAUGAAGUUUCAGGACUUUAGGAAUCUUAGGAAUGUAAAACAAACAUGGAAGCAUUCAGAAGCUGAUCAGAUAAACUAAUGCUCCUUCUGGUCAAACUGCUGAAAAUAAAAAAUAAAAAUAUCUGUAAAUUAUAUACUCAUUUGUUUGAUGUACAGUUGCCCAGAUUCUGAUCUGAAUGACACUAUGCAAAUCAAGUGUUUUGGCAAAGAGUAAAUUACAAUGUGGUUUCAUCCAGAUUUAAUACAACAAGCUUUUAUCCAAGUUUCAAACUACUAGACAUGUUAAAAUAGCAAAUAUAACAUCUUUUAAUCUAAAUUUUACUUUCAGAAAAGACUACAAAGCCCUUUGCACAGACCAAGGAAGAUCUCCAGAGCCCAGCACUGACUAAUUCUUAAGGAGGCAGAUUCAAUCUUCUUCCCCUGAACUUCACCUCUUUGGAGUGAAACUGCUAGUGUUAUUUAAGUUCAGUUGUUUCCUCUGCUUGACUAAACUACUAAUAUCUUGUUAAAUUACUUAGAUAAAGGCAGAAGGUGCAUUUCACAAUGAAGACCUGAGAGGAUAUUGACUUGACUUCAAUUUUCCAUUACAAACUAACUUUUAAGUCCCCAGUCCCUGCAGAAUAUUCAAGAGCCAGGAGUCAACUCUGUGCAAGCAAACUGUAGGUUUGAACAAGAAGCAGCUUAGCAAGUUUCUGGCAGUGCUUCUCAUGGAACUGCCAAACUCAUUUGCAAGAAAAUUAAAAAGGCCAAAAUACUGAGCUCACCUGGGAAGAAUAUGAAUGAGCGUCUUGAACUUGUGGCUGGAAGAGACUUCUUCAAUACUAAUGAGGAUAGGCAGGGAGGAAACAGAGACUUCUGUUUUCCAGUAAAUCUCAAGUUCAUAAAGAACUGAUAGGAUGAUAAGACCAUGAAAGUCAUCAACAAAAUCUUGGAGUAUACUGAGUAAUGAAGGUAUGUCCAGUGGUGAUUUACAGCUAUUAAUUGCACUGUGACAUACAGUAGGGAAACUUCUUCUAGAGUAUCUUUUACAAUACUUACAGCCUGUGUUCCAAAUGCUGAAUUCUGAUUGAAGCAGAUGCUGAGUGAAUACUAUAUGCAAUAUGGAGUUCAUCUUGUGAUCAAAGAGCUAGAGAAUGGACUUGUAAAAAUUGACAAAACUAAAAGAGACCCUGAGACUCGAAAAUACACUAGAAGACAGGGACUGAAAAGAUGGAGAAUGGAGAGUAACCUCACACAAAGAUGAAAUGUACAGAGAGUUUUCUUAGAAAUUCAGCAGAAAAUGAAAUUUGAAUUAAUUUUCUGAAGAAAUUUAAAGAAAAUAUCUCAAUAGCAAAGAAAAAUUUAGGAGGCAUGUCCCAAUUGCAGUUCUGGGAGAAAAAAAAUCUUGUUUUGAGAUGGAUCUUGAUACAUUUAUUGCUAUAUGAUACAACUGUGGGAAAGCAUCAGAGUGGAUGAAAUGGCUCAGGAUGUUCCUGCAGCUGAAAAUUCUCAAGCAAUAAAAAGAUUCAUUACUUUUAACAUAUA